CCUACGGGUGGCAGCAGUGAGGAAUAUUGGUCAAUGGGCUUACGCCUGAACCAGCCAAGUCGCGUGAGGGAAGACUGCCCUAUGGGUUGUAAACCUCUUUUGUCAGGGAGCAACGCCCGCUACGUGUCGCCGGACUGAGAGUACCUGAAGAAAAAGCAUCGGCUAACUCCGUGCAAGCAGCCGCGGUAAUACGGAGGAUGCGAGCGUUAUCCGGAUUUAUUGGGUUUAAAGGGGGCGUAGGCGGAAUGCCAAGUCAGCGGUAAAAUCGCGGGGCUCAACCUCGCUCCGCCGUUGAAACUGGCGUUCUGGAGUGGGCGAGAGGUAUGCGGAAUGCGUGGUGUAGCGGUGAAAUGCAUAGAUAUCACGCAGAACUCCGAUUGCGAAGGCAGCAUACCGGCGCACAACUGACGCUGAGGCACGAAAGCGUGGGUAUCGAACAGGAUUAGAUACCCGGGUAGUC
This 460-nucleotide ribosomal RNA is filed under the name uncultured bacterium. Its description in RNAcentral is "partial 16S ribosomal RNA". It matches the Rfam family "Bacterial small subunit ribosomal RNA", at positions 338 to 795 of the family's 1533-position model. The record is from RNAcentral.